This is a non-coding RNA of Rhodocollybia butyracea, 97 nucleotides long. NCBI's taxonomy places the organism in Eukaryota, Fungi, Basidiomycota, Agaricomycetes, Agaricales, Omphalotaceae. The record is from the annotation of a GenBank genome assembly.
ACUCGCAUAGUCUAGUGGCCAAGACGCCUUGAAAUUGUACGACUCGGGUCCAAUAUCAGAUUCCAAGGAGACGGGAGUUCAAAUCUUCCUGUGGGUA